GACGAACGCUGGCGGCGUGCUUAACACAUGCAAGUCGAACGCUGAAGCUCAGCUUUUGUUGGGUGGAUGAGUGGCGAACGGGUGAGUAACACGUGAGUAACCUGCCCCCUUCUUUGGGAUAACGCCCGGAAACGGGUGCUAAUACUGGAUAUUCACUGGUCUUCGCAUGGGGGUUGGUGGAAAGGGUUUUUCUGGUGGGGGAUGGGCUCGCGGCCUAUCAGCUUGUUGGUGGGGUGAUGGCCUACCAAGGCUUUGACGGGUAGCCGGCCUGAGAGGGUGACCGGUCACAUUGGGACUGAGAUACGGCCCAGACUCCUACGGGAGGCAGCAGUGGGGAAUAUUGCACAAUGGGCGCAAGCCUGAUGCAGCGACGCCGCGUGAGGGAUGGAGGCCUUCGGGUUUGAACCUCUUUCGCUCAUGGUCAAGCCGCAACAAUGGUUGUGGUGAGGGUAGUGGGUAAAGAAGCGCCGGCUAACUACGUG
Molecule: ribosomal RNA, 482 nt
Filed under: uncultured bacterium
Lineage: Bacteria
Description: partial 16S ribosomal RNA
Rfam family: Bacterial small subunit ribosomal RNA
Source: RNAcentral